GAUGAACGCCGGCGGUGUGCCUAAUACAUGCAAGUCGUACGCACUGGCCCAACUGAUUGAUGGUGCUUGCACCUGAUUGACGUUGGAUCACCAGUGAGUGGCGGACGGGUGAGUAACACGUAGGUAACCUGCCCCGGAGCGGGGGAUAACAUUUGGAAACAGAUGCUAAUACCGCAUAACAACAAAAGCCACAUGGCUUUUGUUUGAAAGAUGGCUUUGGCUAUCACUCUGGGAUGGACCUGCGGUGCAUUAGCUAGUUGGUAAGGUAACGGCUUACCAAGGCGAUGAUGCAUAGCCGAGUUGAGAGACUGAUCGGCCACAAUGGAACUGAGACACGGUCCAUACUCCUACGGGAGGCAGCAGUAGGGAAUCUUCCACAAUGGGCGCAAGCCUGAUGGAGCAACACCGCGUGAGUGAAGAAGGGUUUCGGCUCGUAAAGCUCUGUUGUUGGAGAAGAACGUGCGUGAGAGUAACUGUUCACGCAGUGACGGUAUCCAACCAGAAAGUCACGGCUAACUACGUGCCAGCAGCCGCGGUAAUACGUAGGUGGCAAGCGUUAUCCGGAUUUAUUGGGCGUAAAGCGAGCGCAGGCGGUUGCUUAGGUCUGAUGUGAAAGCCUUCGGCUUAACCGAAGAAGUGCAUCGGAAACCGGGCGACUUGAGUGCAGAAGAGGACAGUGGAACUCCAUGUGUAGCGGUGGAAUGCGUAGAUAUAUGGAAGAACACCAGUGGCGAAGGCGGCUGUCUGGUCUGCAACUGACGCUGAGGCUCGAAAGCAUGGGUAGCGAACAGGAUUAGAUACCCUGGUAGUCCAUGCCGUAAACGAUGAGUGCUAGGUGUUGGAGGGUUUCCGCCCUUCAGUGCCGGAGCUAACGCAUUAAGCACUCCGCCUGGGGAGUACGACCGCAAGGUUGAAACUCAAAGGAAUUGACGGGGGCCCGCACAAGCGGUGGAGCAUGUGGUUUAAUUCGAAGCUACGCGAAGAACCUUACCAGGUCUUGACAUCUUGCGCUAACCUUAGAGAUAAGGCGUUCCCUUCGGGGACGCAAUGACAGGUGGUGCAUGGUCGUCGUCAGCUCGUGUCGUGAGAUGUUGGGUUAAGUCCCGCAACGAGCGCAACCCUUGUUACUAGUUGCCAGCAUUAAGUUGGGCACUCUAGUGAGACUGCCGGUGACAAACCGGAGGAAGGUGGGGACGACGUCAGAUCAUCAUGCCCCUUAUGACCUGGGCUACACACGUGCUACAAUGGACGGUACAACGAGUCGCAAGCUCGCGAGAGUAAGCUAAUCUCUUAAAGCCGUUCUCAGUUCGGACUGUAGGCUGCAACUCGCCUACACGAAGUCGGAAUCGCUAGUAAUCGCGGAU
RNAcentral lists this ribosomal RNA (1364 nucleotides) under Limosilactobacillus reuteri. RNAcentral describes it as "bacterial SSU rRNA". It matches the Rfam family "Bacterial small subunit ribosomal RNA", at positions 28 to 1349 of the family's 1533-position model. The record is from RNAcentral. Lineage: Bacteria; Bacillati; Bacillota; Bacilli; Lactobacillales; Lactobacillaceae.